This 962-nucleotide long non-coding RNA is filed under the name Olea europaea subsp. europaea. The record is from RNAcentral. Lineage: Eukaryota; Viridiplantae; Streptophyta; Magnoliopsida; Lamiales; Oleaceae.
AUAUGUGUUUGAGGUGGAUCUGGUUCUUUGUUUUUUUUUGUUUUUUGUGUUUUGUUUUUUUUUUUUUUUGGUGUGUGUGUGUGUGUGAGUGAACCACAGGGAUUGCCGGGUGCAAAGUGGAUCUGGAGGGAGCUCAAGGUAUAUUACUAAAUAUAUCCCAAGGAUUAAACAAGAAGAAAAAAAAACAUUUUUCACAUAUUUUUGUAACUUGGUUUCUUUUGCUCGUGAUUAUUUUUUAGUUUAUUCUGACUUAGUUUAUUUUUCAUCUCAAUGGUAGUUUAUUUUUCAUCUCAAUGGAAGUCAUUUUUGUGAGACAAACUGAUCGUUACUUUGAUCAUCCAUCAUGAAUACCUAUUGAAUAUAAUCACAGGGAUUUUCGUACUAUGUUUCAAAUAUUGAAAUUAUUUCCUUUCCUAGAUUAGUUAUUUACCAAACAUAGGUAUGUCUUCCAUUGUAUAUAAAUACAUGUUUGUAUUCUUCAAUUAAUUAGUGAAAAGUUUAUUCAUUCCAUAUCAAACUCUAGAAUUUAUCAUGGUAUUAGAGCGUUAUGUUUUCAAACGCCAUAACUGCUCCUGCCAUGGCCGAAGCAACUCCAAUUUUGGAUGCCCAAAAAUCCCUUACAAAUGUUUCAUCUCCAUAUUAUUUGCAUUCGUUACAUCAACCAAAUCUAUUCCUAGUCGAUACACCUCUCAAUGGUGGCGUCGAGCAAUCACCAGUGCACUGAAUGCCAAGAAAAAAUUAGGCCCUGUUCUCUUUCCCGUUUUCGGGCCGUUUUCUGUUUUCGAUUUUUCAAAACGGUGAAAACGUGUUCUCUUUCCCGUUUUCGAAAACGAAUUUUCGAAAAUGAAAAAAAAUUUGUGAAGAAAACACAAAACGACUUUUUUGUCGUUUUGGGCGUUUUCAGUGUAAAACUUGAAAAAACUGAAAACGCGGGAAACACCUUUUUUUUUUUUCGGAGGUGG